CGUCUCCCCGGCCCAGCCCGGCCGCUCGCCCUGUCCGGUCUCUCCCCGGCCCCUUGAUUCUCCGCGUCUUCCUCGCAGGCCAGCCUAAGCUCAGCCUGCAUUGCGCCCUCCCGGCCUAGGGUGUCGCUGUACCGGCCUCCGAGCUCCACAUAGACAAGUCCGGACCUCGGGCGGGGGCAGGAGACGGAGCUGAGCGGCGGGGGGCAGUGUCGCCUCGGUCUAGGGACGGCGGCGGAGUCGGUGGUCCCUGCGCGAUGGCCACCUCGGUGUUGUGCUGCCUGCGGUGCUGCAGAGACGGGGGGACUGGCCACAUCCCUCUGAAGGAGAUGCCGGCCGUGCAGCUGGACACGCAGCACAUGGGGUAUUACUUAUGACCAUGUCGAAUUAAAUGUAUACUUGAAUGGAAAAAACAUGCAUUGUCCAGCAUCAGGUAUACGAGGGACAGUGUAUCCAGUUGUUUAUGUUGAUGACAGUGCAAUUUUGGAUUGCCAGUUCAGUGAGUUUUAUCAUACGCCUCCACCUGGUUUUGAAAAAAUAUUAUUUGAACAGCAAAUCUUCUGAAUGUAUUUGUUUUUAAAACUUGUAUUUCUGCACUGUUAAAAAAUGUUCAUCAUUUAAUAAAACUUUACCUGGCCUAUAGAUGAAAAUAUAUUCUUAAAAAUAUGCUUGUUGAUGCUGUCUAAGGAACCAAUGUAUUCAGUAUACCACCCUGAAGUUGUGAUUUAAAAUACUUUAUGUUUUGUGAAAUGAAAAUAAGCAUUUGGGCAGUUUAUUUAAUUCUUAUUUAAAUAAAUAGAAUUAUGGGUUUAAUUAACAGUAUAACAUGACUAUAUAUACAUAUAUAUUUAAAGGGAAUUCUUUCUUACAUAAUAUAUUUGUUUUGAUAGAGAUGUAGAGUUGGGUGGGUGUUUUUGUCACUCUGAAGUUUAGACCUCAUUAAAUAUUUGACAUCUACAGUUGGAUAAUUUUGCCGCUUAGUGUCCUUUUUUAUAUACAAUAUAACAAAGUGAGAGAAAUUUAUAUUACUGGCAAUUUCAUUUUUGGCAGUCUAUUUCUGUAUCAUGUACCGCUUUUCUUAAAACUUAAAUUGCUUAUUUUGUUGUGUAAUGUCAUUGCUUUUGAUUUGCUUUGUGAAAGGAGAUAAACGUUUCAGUAAUUGUCAGAGCAUUUUGUUGCCUCAGGCUGUGUUACCUCAAUUUCAGAGUAAGUAGUGGUUGAUUAGUAAUGUAGUAUACACUGGCAGACAUCUAGAAUAGUAUGAUGCUUUACAUUUAAAUGAGGUUAUUCUUUUAAGGACUUUUAUUUGUAUGUUUUCUGUAAGGAAUAAUAAAAUAAUUGUAAUUAAGGAAUAUACCAUACUAUAUUAAACACAUUCUUCCUAUUUUGUUAGUUAUACACUAAAUUCACAUCACCCGUGAUUAUUUCAGUUCAGAGAUAAGUGAAUCCUCUUCAUGACCCUGAGUCUUUGCCUGGUUCUUAAGAAUCACUGUCCUUUAGUUAACGCCCUGUGACCUGAACCAAUCACUCUAUACAUCUUUAGAUACGUUGUCUGUUUUCAAAUGAGCAUGGCAAGGAUGCAUACAUUUCCCUCCUUUAUCAACUAGAAACAGUACAUUGUUCAGGAAAACAUGAGUGUUAGAAUUAGAAAGAGAUCCAAAUUGUAGUUUUGCUGCUCAUCCUAUUUUCUCCUCUCCAAGUCUCAGAUUCCCAUUUAUAAAAGGAGCAAUCAUACUGACAUAAGAUUCUAUGAUUAAAUAAGGUAAUACAUAUAUAACACCUUAAUAAUCAUAGGCACUUGCGCCAGGCGCGGUGGCUCACACCUGUAAUCCCAGCACUUUGGGAGGCUGAGGCGGGAGGAUCACAAGGUCAGGAGAUCGAGACCAUCGUGGCUAACAUGGUGAAACCCUGGCUCUACUAAAAAAAUACAAAAAAAAUUAGCCAGGUGUGGUGGCGGGCGCCUGUAGUUCUAGCUACUCUGGAGGCUGAGGCAGGAGAAUGGCUUGAACCCGGGAGACGGCGCUUGCAGUGAGCCGAGAUUGCCCCACUGCACUCCAGCCUAGGCAACAGAGUGAGACUCUGUCUCAAAAAAAAUUAAAAUAAAAUAAAAUAAAAAUCAUAGGCACUUAGUAAGUGUAGUUUCCUGGAUGGUAAAGUAUCAGGGAAAGUGGUUUUCUUUCUUUUUUUUUUUUUCUCGUUUUUUUUUUGAGACAGAGUCUCACCUUGUCACCCAGGCUAGAGUGCAGUGGCACGAUCUUGGCUCACUGCAACCUCUGCUUCCCAGGUUUAAGCGAUUCUCUUGCCUCAGCCUCCCGAGUAGGUGGGACUACAGGUGCCCGCCACCACGCCCGUGUAAUUUUUGUAUUUUUAGUAGAGAUGGGGUUUCACCAUGUUGUCCAGGCUGGUCUCAAACUCCUGACCUCAUGAUCCACCUCCCUCAGCCUCCCAAAGUGCUGGAAUUAUAGGCGUAAGCCACCACACCCAGCCAGAAAGUGGUUCUCAUGAUGCUUCUCAGACCGGCAACAUCAGCAUCACUGGAACUUGUUAAAAAUGGACACUCUCAGAACCCACACCAGACCCACCAAAUCAGUUUGAGAACUGCCAUUCAGUAGAGAAUUAUUUGCCUACUGUAAAUUUUCUAAGGAUUUAUGAUGGGCUAUUUUUGACCCAUAGGCUCAGAGAAUCCUGCAAAAUCCUUUUUUAUUGUUUAUUCUGCAGACAAAAAUGUGACAAUAUGCUUUGAAAACAUAGAUAUACUUGAGUAACAUUUAUUUACAUAAAUCCCAAAUUCUACCUCUGAAGGUAUAUGAAAUUUAACUAUGUAUGUAUUAUGCAUUUUGUCUGGCUUUCUAUCAUAAUUUUAAUUUGUAAAGAAUGUGCUUACUUGGGAAAGCAAAUUAAAGUGACUACUGUUUGCUAUC
RNAcentral lists this long non-coding RNA (2918 nucleotides) under Homo sapiens (human). The record is from RNAcentral. Lineage: Eukaryota; Metazoa; Chordata; Mammalia; Primates; Hominidae.